Molecule: ribosomal RNA, 339 nt
Filed under: uncultured Diversispora
Lineage: Eukaryota; Fungi; Glomeromycota; Glomeromycetes; Diversisporales; Diversisporaceae
Description: SSU rRNA
Rfam family: Eukaryotic small subunit ribosomal RNA
Source: RNAcentral
AGCAGCCGCGGUAAUUCCAGCUCCAAUAGCGUAUAUUAAAGUUGUUGCAGUUAAAAAGCUCGUAGUUGAACUUCGGGGUCUACCCAUUGGUCAGGCUUAAUUGUCUGCACUGGUGAGAUGGAUCUCUACCUUCUGAGGAACUUUCAUGCCAUUUAUUUGGUGUGGUUGGAAAUCAGGACUGUUACUUUAGAAAAAAUUAGAGUAGUUUAAAGCAGACUAUCGUCUGAAUACAUUAGCAUGGAAUAAUGAAAUAGGACGGACUGAUUCUAUUUCGUGGUUUCUAGGAUCACCGUAAUGAUUAAUAGGGUAUAGUUGGGGGCAUUAGUAUUCAAUUGUCAG